Molecule: transfer RNA, 72 nt
Organism: Auxenochlorella protothecoides
Lineage: Eukaryota; Viridiplantae; Chlorophyta; Trebouxiophyceae; Chlorellales; Chlorellaceae
Rfam family: tRNA
About the family: Transfer RNA (tRNA) molecules are approximately 80 nucleotides in length. Their secondary structure includes four short double-helical elements and three loops (D, anti-codon, and T loops).
Source: Rfam
GUUUAGGUAGCUCAGGGGUAGAGCGGAGGACUGAAAAUCCUUGUGUCGGUGGUUCAAAUCCACCUCUAGACA